This 296-nucleotide unclassified non-coding RNA is filed under the name Commiphora ankaranensis. RNAcentral's name for it is "partial miscellaneous RNA". The record is from RNAcentral. Lineage: Eukaryota; Viridiplantae; Streptophyta; Magnoliopsida; Sapindales; Burseraceae.
CCUUCGCGACGUCGACGCCCGCAUGACGCCCGACGGGCCGUGAGGCCGCGGGCUCAAGACGGGCACGGCAGUCGUUCGCGUCGAGGGACAAUGCGUUUUGCUUGGGCAAACAGAGCCGGAAGACCCCACGCCCGCGCGUAACGUUCUGCAUCCGAGAGAACGGGCAGAGCACACCGUGGGCCGAAGCAGCCAAGCGACUGGGCGAGGCUUGCCGGGAGCACGGGGCRUGCCUCGUGUCCGCCCCACRGCCCGCGAGGGCUGGGUGCGGAGGGGAUCAGACCGUCUGAUAUUUUUCG